This is a long non-coding RNA of Engraulis encrasicolus (European anchovy), 498 nucleotides long. RefSeq lists it as uncharacterized. The record is from RefSeq and is a predicted model, not a curated record. NCBI's taxonomy places the organism in Eukaryota, Metazoa, Chordata, Actinopteri, Clupeiformes, Engraulidae. The transcript has 5 exons.
CAUCCACCAAUGGCAUUUUCCGGCGAGUUAACGUCACACCAGGAAGUGAACGUUCUCGUCUUGUGUGAACGUGUGAAGUCUUCACGGAGAAACUUUCAGAUGCGAUGUCCCAACAAGAAUCUGCCAGUAGGCUACCACAUUACACCUCAGCAGGCACACCAGAGAAGGACCACUCCUGGAUAAGGAUUUGAGCUACUGUCACGACUGCCAUCUACACUAUAUUACACACGGCAGCAGAUGUGGGAGGUGGUGAUCAACGUGACUCGUGAGCAGGUGGAGGACUUCCACGGCCCCGCAGACUACUGCUUCCUGUGUGUGGCCUGGAGCCACCUGAGGACCUCCAAGAGCUGGCAAGGACACGGUCCGCAUCGCCCAACAUGGACAAACAGGGUGCCCAUCAUCAGCUGCUGUGACGGGCCUUCCAUGGUGUUGCUGUGAUUAUUGCAAGGACAAACAAAAACUGUUUUGUUUGGUUUAUACAAACCAAAACAAUAUGUA